This 590-nucleotide ribosomal RNA is filed under the name uncultured bacterium. RNAcentral's name for it is "bacterial SSU rRNA". It matches the Rfam family "Bacterial small subunit ribosomal RNA", at positions 338 to 943 of the family's 1533-position model. The record is from RNAcentral.
CCUACGGGAGGCAGCAGUGGGGAAUCUUGCGCAAUGGGCGAAAGCCUGACGCAGCCAUGCCGCGUGAAUGAUGAAGGUCUUAGGAUUGUAAAAUUCUUUCACCGGGGACGAUAAUGACGGUACCCGGAGAAGAAGCCCCGGCUAACUUCGUGCCAGCAGCCGCGGUAAUACGAAGGGGGCUAGCGUUGCUCGGAAUUACUGGGCGUAAAGGGAGCGUAGGCGGAUAGUUUAGUCAGAGGUGAAAGCCCAGGGCUCAACCUUGGAAUUGCCUUUGAUACUGGCUAUCUUGAGUACGGAAGAGGUAUGUGGAACUCCGAGUGUAGAGGUGAAAUUCGUAGAUAUUCGGAAGAACACCAGUGGCGAAGGCGACAUACUGGUCCGUUACUGACGCUGAGGCUCGAAAGCGUGGGGAGCAAACAGGAUUAGAUACCCUGGUAGUCCACGCUGUAAACGAUGAGUGCUAGUUGUCGGCAUGCAUGCAUGUCGGUGACGCAGCUAACGCAUUAAGCACUCCGCCUGGGGAGUACGGUCGCAAGAUUAAAACCUUAAAGGAAAUUGACGGCUUGAGAGNGCGAGCGACACGAGGAGAG